GGCGCUAUAGCCAAGUGGUUACGGCGACAGAUUAGAACGAAGUAAUCUGUUCCUCUUUGAGGGCGCAGGUUCGAAUCCUGCUGGCGUCG
This 89-nucleotide transfer RNA is filed under the name Rhodocollybia butyracea. It matches the Rfam family "tRNA". Rfam says of the family: Transfer RNA (tRNA) molecules are approximately 80 nucleotides in length. Their secondary structure includes four short double-helical elements and three loops (D, anti-codon, and T loops). Further hydrogen bonds mediate the characteristic L-shaped molecular structure. tRNAs have two regions of fundamental functional importance: the anti-codon, which is responsible for specific mRNA codon recognition, and the 3' end, to which the tRNAs corresponding amino acid is attached (by aminoacyl-tRNA synthetases). tRNAs cope with the degeneracy of the genetic code in two manners: having more than one tRNA (with a specific anti-codon) for a particular amino acid; and 'wobble' base-pairing, i.e. permitting non-standard base-pairing at the 3rd anti-codon position. The record is from Rfam by way of RNAcentral. Lineage: Eukaryota; Fungi; Basidiomycota; Agaricomycetes; Agaricales; Omphalotaceae.